Molecule: ribosomal RNA, 200 nt
Filed under: uncultured bacterium
Lineage: Bacteria
Description: partial 16S ribosomal RNA
Rfam family: Bacterial small subunit ribosomal RNA
Source: RNAcentral
UGGAGGANNGAAGGCCCUNNGGUUGUAAACUCCUUUUGCUAGGGAAGAAAUGCGAUCAGGUGAACAAUCUGGUCGUUUGACGGUACCUGGCGAAUAAGCUCCGGCUAACUCCGUGCCAGCAGCCGCGGUAACACGGGGGGAGCAAGCGUUGUUCGGAAUUACUGGGCGUAAAGGGCGUGUAGGCGGUUAGGUAAGUGGGA